This 497-nucleotide ribosomal RNA is filed under the name uncultured bacterium. RNAcentral describes it as "partial 16S ribosomal RNA". It matches the Rfam family "Bacterial small subunit ribosomal RNA", at positions 28 to 507 of the family's 1533-position model. The record is from RNAcentral.
GAUGAACGCUGGCGGCGUGCCUAAUACAUGCAAGUCGAGCGAACAGAUAAGGAGCUUGCUCCUUUGACGUUAGCGGCGGACGGGUGAGUAACACGUGGGUAACCUACCGAUAAGACUGGGAUAACUUCGGGAAACCGGAGCUAAUACCGGAUAACAUUUGGAACCGCAUGGUUCUAAAGUGAAAGAUGGUUUUGCUAUCACUUAUAGAUGGACCCGCGCCGUAUUAGCUAGUUGGUAAGGUAACGGCUUACCAAGGCGACGAUACGUAGCCGACCUGAGAGGGUGAUCGGCCUCACUGGAACUGAGACACGGCCCAGACUCCUACGGGAGGCAGCAGUAGGGAAUCUUCCGCAAUGGGCGAAAGCCUGACGGAGCAACGCCGCGUGAGUGAUGAAGGGUUUCGGCUCGUAAAACUCUGUUAUUAGGGAAGAACAAAUGUGUAAGUAACUGUGCACGUCUUGACGGUACCUAAUCAGAAAGCCACGGCUAACUACGUG